Molecule: ribosomal RNA, 585 nt
Filed under: uncultured Tomentella
Lineage: Eukaryota; Fungi; Basidiomycota; Agaricomycetes; Thelephorales; Thelephoraceae
Description: eukaryotic LSU rRNA
Rfam family: 5.8S ribosomal RNA (bases 163-317)
Source: RNAcentral
AUGGGGGCAUGUGCACACUCUGUUUGCAUCCACUCACACCUGUGCACCCCUGCAGUUCUAUGGUCUGGGAGACUCUGUCUUCCUUCUGUGGUUCUGCGUCUUUACACACACACUGUAACCUGGUCUCAUGGAAUGUAUGUAGCGUUUAACGCAAUAUAAUACAACUUUCAGCAACGGAUCUCUUGGCUCUCGCAUCGAUGAAGAACGCAGCGAAAUGCGAUAAGUAAUGUGAAUUGCAGAAUUCAGUGAAUCAUCGAAUCUUUGAACGCACCUUGCGCCCUUUGGCUAUUCCGAAGGGCAUGCCUGUUUGAGUAUCGUGAACACUUCAACUCUCAUGGUUUACCGUGAUGAGAUUGGACUCUGGAGGUUUUGCUGGCCCUCGGUCAGCUCCUCUCAAAUACAUUAGCUUACCGGUUUAUGGUGGCGCCACAGGUGUGAUAACUAUCUGCUCUUGUGGCCGUACGCCAGAUAGCCUUCAACACUGGAGGUUUGCUGGGGCUCACAAAUGUCUCUCCUUGUGAAGACAGCCUUUUGAACGUUUGAUCUCAAAUCAGGUAGGACUACCCGCUGAACUUAAGCAUAUCA